Molecule: long non-coding RNA, 1258 nt
Organism: Vidua chalybeata
Lineage: Eukaryota; Metazoa; Chordata; Aves; Passeriformes; Viduidae
Exons: 2
Source: RefSeq, a predicted model, not a curated record
AACAAGCACUCCUUUUCAUUUUGCUCCAGCAGCACAAAUUCAUACGGAAACAACAACCUCCACACAAACCUGUGGGCCUUGGGAUGCUCCCCUGGACGUUGUGGCUACAUAACCACAGUUAAACCUACAGUAACCUGCUGCUGAAAAAAAACAAGAAAACAGGUGUGUUUGGAAACUAAGGAAGCUCCAAAAUGCUGGAUUUCAACAAGAUUUGGGCAAGACAAGAGCUGGAAGCUAUUUAUCUACCUAUGAGACAACUUCUGGAGCAGAUCGAGAUAACAGCAACAGACACCAAAAUCCCAAGAGAAGAAUUACUGUCUCCUUAUCAAGAAAGCUCAGACUUCGAGGAACCAAGAAAGUUGAUUUACAAGAUGGGGGGGGAAGCCAAAAUUAAGCAGAAACACCCACGUUUAAAAGAAAUGUUUGAAUCAUGUAUGAGAUAUAUGAAUAUGCAAAAGGCUAUUGCUUUUAAAGGGUAAUUCUUUGUUAGCAAGGGGUGCUUUUUGGCAGAGUGCAAGGCACCCAGACAUCCGUAAUUCUUCGCUUUUUAUUGUCUCUUAUUGUCCUAAUUUCCAUCACUAUUUUCAUUACUAUUAAACUCCUAAAAUUUUAACAAAAGUGAAUGGCAUUUUUCACAUUGUGGGACAUAAGUUAUCAGUUAUUGGGUUAGAAGUGAAAAUAAUUUAGGUGUCAUUUCUUAAUUGGAUAGUUUAGCCUUAGAAGACCUUGUAACAAAAGAUAUUUUGUGCCUUGUUAGUAGAAUGCUGUAGAACUCACGACUUGUAAUAUAAAAAAGAAAUAAUUCACAUCUAAGCCUGAAUGCAAAAUGUCAUCUCAAGUGCCUUCAAUCCCGACCUCGACAGAGGCAGAAAAAAGAAGGUGAGAACCAGCAGAUCCCUGCCUGAUUCCCAGUGGAUUCCCAGUUCCCAGUGGACUUUCACAGCCUGGCAGCUGUGUUUAAUUGUGCCCAAGUCAGCUGACAAAGGCUGGGAUUUCGCUGCCUUCCGUGUGUUUCAUCUUGGCAGGUGUUUCACUCCUCCCCCACAAAGGCUUGGCAGCCCUAAAAACCCGCACGUGGCCGGGGUUGGAUGGAUGGCAGGGAAAAAUCAGAGAUAUCCCUGGCAAACCAAGGAGAAUCCCCACAUCAGAAGAAAUCCUCGCCUUGAAUAGAUUCAUGCUGCGUAUCAAAAUCAAUGGUUUUACCAAUAACAGCCUGAUUUAGCAUAAAUAAAUAAAUUAAACAGAAUGAUAAAUCACA